Molecule: ribosomal RNA, 119 nt
Filed under: Triticum aestivum (bread wheat)
Lineage: Eukaryota; Viridiplantae; Streptophyta; Magnoliopsida; Poales; Poaceae
Source: RNAcentral
UGAUGCGAUCAUACCAGCACUAAAGCACCGGAUCCCAUCAGAACUCCGAAGUUAAGCGUGCUUGGGCGAGAGUAGUACUAGGAUGGGUGACCUCCUAGAAAGUCGUCGUGUUGCAUUCC